CUUGCUCCCUAAGACAAAAGGGAAAGUAAUGGCUUAGCUAUUGUCAAUAGCAGUUUGUCUGUGAAAACCUAGCGCAUUGCACUUUCCCUUCUUUGAGUGCUUUCACUUAUUUUGUACCACCGACAUGAUUUAAACGUCUCGUACCACAAACGUGCAACAUUAGCUCCAAAAAGAGGGAUCCCAACAGGCAUUGUGAGAAGGCUGGCGUUAGCAACAACAGACACCUGCUCCUACUCCAGCUGACCAGCUAGCAUCAGGGACUAGCCAAGACCGAUGCUGCUACACAAGCAUGGAAGAAUUAAAGCAUCAUAUGGAAGAAGAAUUCGGCACAGAUGAUCCCAUCACACUUACAAACAAAUACAGACUGUGUUUCACUAACCUCUUCUACAUCGCAGUGUUGGUGUGAAUUUGUAACCAUAAGUGUGCACAGGCAGUGCCCAGUAUUCACCACACCAGAUGGCAGGAUAGGCCAAGGGUGACUGACUUUCUGCUGUUCUGUGGUGUUAUUGACCAACACCAACAUGUCCUUCUCUGAUAAUAGAAAAUGAAACCCUCCACAUUGCUGUACCUGAAAAAUCAAAUGUUAUUUCAAAGGUUGCUUGACUGUUUGCAACUGUUUUACUGCAUUUACACACAAAAAAUUGCUGAUAUGAUCUUGUCGUUCUGUCAUUGUUCUUUGCCUAUGCUGGAAAAUAAAAGCUUUAAAUAUU
Molecule: long non-coding RNA, 710 nt
Organism: Notolabrus celidotus (New Zealand spotty)
Lineage: Eukaryota; Metazoa; Chordata; Actinopteri; Labriformes; Labridae
Exons: 2
Source: RefSeq, a predicted model, not a curated record